This is a long non-coding RNA of Gallus gallus (chicken), 822 nucleotides long. NCBI's taxonomy places the organism in Eukaryota, Metazoa, Chordata, Aves, Galliformes, Phasianidae. The record is from Ensembl.
GUACUCUGCUGAGUGCUGGUAUUUAAAACAGCCCCAUGGGGAUCGGUGUUUUUCUUCAGUUUGUGUCAACUUGGUUUGAGCAUUCUUCAGGUAAAGGGUAAGCUACAGGGGUCUGCAACUUCUAGGGCGUCAUCUCUUCCUUGGUGUGGCAGAGUAAACAGUGCUGCUGGAUGGUUGUUCACAGUGAAGCACUGCCCUUGCAUUUCUCAGAGUUCUUCAGUGCCAUACUUGACAACAAAAUGACAGAAGUACCCAUCAGAGAGAUCAACAAAUGAAGUGAAUCUUCCUGGAAAUAAGGAGGCCAAGGAAAAUAUGUAGUUACUCCUGAACAAGUAUGUCAAGAAGCUGACUCAGCAGCUCAGGAUUUGCUCCAGUGGGUAGAAGACAGAACAUUGUUGCAAGAUGAAGAUGUCCGGUGUCUUGGCACAGUGCAGCACUAUACAAUGGUUCUUUUGCAAAUCCUACUACUGCGCUGUAUGAAAGAUCUUUCUAAGGUUGCCACGUCUGGGGCAAUGUUCCGUUUUCUGGAGGCCAUGGUGUGCUGCAGGCACUUGCCAAGGAAGGAGAUGGAAAAGCUGUGCCUUUGCCAGUGCUUAAAGAAUGAAUCUGAAGACUGCUGCGGUUCAGUGGACCACUACUGUGAGCAGCUCCAGUGUGACUGACAGGUGGUUUUUGAAAAUGAGCUCAACUUCAGAUUUACCCUAGUAUUGUCCAUCAUGAAUCGUGAGUCUCACAGCAUUUGGUUAGUUAACAACAAAAGCAGCAAUUCUAUUUCAAACUUCUGACUUCAGAGUUUCCGAAGUUCAGCAAAAAAUGAGGUAG